UGAGUACGAGCUGCUACGGCAGCGAAGUGGGUGAUGUCAAGCUUCCAAGAAAAGCCCUAUACCCGUUAAGGCGUGACGGCCUGUACCCGAAACCGACACAGGUGGGGUGGUAGAGAAUACCGAGGGGCGCGAGAUAACUCUCUCUAAGGAACUCGGCAAAAUGGCCCCGUAACUUCGGGAGAAGGGGUGCCACCGCAAGGUGGUCGCAGUGAAGAGGCCCAGGCGACUGUUUACCAAAAACACAGGUCUCCGCUAAGUCGCAAGACGAUGUAUGGGGGCUGACGCCUGCCCAGUGCCGGAAGGUUAAGGAAGCUGGUCAGCGCAAGCGAAGCUAGCGACUGAAGCCCCGGUGAACGGCGGCCGUAACUAUAACGGUCCUAAGGUAGCGAAAUUCCUUGUCGGGUAAGUUCCGACCCGCACGAAAGGCGUAACGAUCUGGGCGCUGUCUCGGAGAGAGGCUCGGCGAAAUAGAAUUGUCUGUGAAGAUGCGGACUACGUGCACCCGGACAGAAAGACCCUAUGAAGCUUUACUGUAGCUUGGUAUUGUGCCCGGGCUCUGAAUGCGCAGGAUAGGUGGGAGGCUUUGAUCCAUUGCUUGUGGGUAGUGGUGAGCCAACGGUGAGAUACCACUCUUUCAGAGCUAGGGUUCUAACCCUCACCCGUUAUCCGGGGAGGGGACAGUAUCAGGUGGGCAGUUUGACUGGGGCGGUCGCCUCCUAAAAGGUAACGGAGGCGCGCAAAGGUUUGCUCAGGCUGGUUGGAAAUCAGCCGACGAGUGUAAAAGCAGAAGCAAGCUUGACUGUGAGACCAACAAGUCGAACAGGGACGAAAGUCGGCUUUAGUGAUCCGACGGUUCUGAGUGGAAGGGCCGUCGCUCAACGGAUAAAAGUUACUCUAGGAUAACAGGCUGAUCUCCCCCAAGAGUUCACAUCGACGGGGAGGUUUGGCACCUCGAUGUCGGCUCAUCGCAACUCGGGGCUGAAGUCGGUCCCAAGGGUUGGGCUGUUCGCCCAUUAAAGCGGUACGCGAGCUGGGUUCAGAACGUCGUGAGACAGUUCGGUCCAUAUCCGGUGCAUGCGUAAGAACAUUGACAGGAGUUCCCCCUAGUACGAGAGGACCGGGAGGAACGCACCUCUGGUGUACCAGUUAUCGUGCCAACGGUAAACGCUGGGUAGCCAUGUGCGGAGAGGAUAACCGCUGAAAGCAUCUAAGUGGGAAGCCCACCUGAAGAUGAGUGUUCUCAUGGCUUAAGCCAGUAAGGUCACGGGAAGAACACCCGUUGAUAGGCUCUACGUGGAAGCGCAGCAAUGCGUGAAGCGGAGGAGUACUAAUAGACCGAGGGCUUGAU
This 1348-nucleotide ribosomal RNA is filed under the name metagenome. Its description in RNAcentral is "bacterial LSU rRNA". It matches the Rfam family "Bacterial large subunit ribosomal RNA", at positions 1564 to 2925 of the family's 2925-position model. The record is from RNAcentral.